Molecule: long non-coding RNA, 1025 nt
Organism: Lacerta agilis (Sand lizard)
Lineage: Eukaryota; Metazoa; Chordata; Lepidosauria; Squamata; Lacertidae
Exons: 3
Source: RefSeq, a predicted model, not a curated record
GAACAUUGCAUAAGAAGCAAUGUUGUCCAUAAGCAGGAGCUGAUGCCACAGGUAUAGGACACAGCAACUUUGAAAACCUGGAAGAAGGCAGCAGUAGCUUGUAAUGUAUGGUUUCCCCAAUGUUUUUGAUGAAGCAACCAGAAAAGAAGACAAAGUCUGCAGCGAAACCUUUUAAAUAGAAAUAAUUUGCCAUAGCCUUCUCAGGGAGUGCGGUACAUUCUUACGUCCAUGGAGUUAAAGCAACAGACAAGCAAAAUUGUGGGAUGAUGCAUGAGGUUUACAAUUUUUUGGUACACUGCCAUCUUAUCUACAAGAACUGCAGCUGGUGCAGGACAAGGAAAAAAAAGGGACCAUCUACCUAGAAGAUUAAUAGUUUGCUGCAUGGAAGAACAAAGUGUAGAUAAACAUAAAUAAACAUGCAUUGAACACCGUCUGCUGCGUAUGAGCUAAAUCAUUCUGCCAAAGGGAAAUAAAGGAAAGCUACUUUAACAUUUAGAGCAGUGCAAGACAGCAUGGAUAAGCUCAGAUUAACAGAGAACUGCAUCAGCAUAUAUUGAAAGACAGACAGAAAGGCAGACCACAGAAGCCAAAGCUUGUCUACACGGCCUCUUGGAUUCUUGGCAGAGUCAACAAUGCCGUCAUCAAGAACAUCAGGACCAGAUGCUACUUGCCAAAGGAAAUCAUCAGAAGCACUUGCAAAUUCCUGUGAUCUUGUUCCCAGCUUCCAUUCUCAGAUGCCUGCACUUCCACAGGGGAGAGGAAGACAUCAGCAGCACAACAAUUCGCUUUUCUGUAUCGCACCCAUUAUGUCCUUGUGUAAAUCUGCUUAUGCACGCAAUGAACAGAUUGCUAACAGUGUAAAUAUAGUUCUCAUGCCUUAUUUAGAAGAAGUAAAUUCAUAAAGCAAUAAAUGACUAAACAUUUCUUAUGGACUUUAUAUUAUCAUUCCCAAUAAAUUGUAAAAUGGCUAUGCUCUGGGUGGUCUGGAGUGUCAGACAAGGAGAAAGCACAAGGAAGUUCCUGUA